RNAcentral lists this long non-coding RNA (572 nucleotides) under Brachypodium distachyon (stiff brome). Its description in RNAcentral is "long non-coding RNA (BDIS_LNC000541)". The record is from RNAcentral. Lineage: Eukaryota; Viridiplantae; Streptophyta; Magnoliopsida; Poales; Poaceae.
UUCAGCAUUGAGAUUUAUCUCAUCGAAAGUACCGCUACACCAACAACAAUCCCGUGAUCGUAACGCUUUGUGGUCUACGAGGGUAUGAUGCUCAUAAUCCCUCUCGUUACAUACAUCUAGUAGAUAUGAUCUUGGGUUUUUUCCGCACUUCUCGUAGAAUUUUUUUUGUUUUUCAUGCAACGAACCCAUUAGAAGAUUUUUAGAGAUAAGUUUGAUGAACAAACAAGAGCAAAGAGAAACUUAGGGUCAUGGAAGCAGUUUUAUUUAUGAGAUGAGAUCGGAGCCAUUGGAUGAAGAACUAGUGGUAAAAGAUGUAACGGGAAUUGGUGAACUGAAAAUAGUAGAGUGAUUUAUUUUUACCUUAUUAGGAUUCACAAAACUCCCCUUCUUUUGAACAGUAUAAGGGUCUUUGUACUCGGGCCUCUAGUUUUUGAAUGCUAUACUUGUUUUCUGAAAACUGUGCAAGAUUAUUUUCGGCCGGCUGAGAUUCACGUAUUUUCAAAACAAUCUAUUAAUUGCAUGUUCGCUAGAUCUGGUAACUUGUCUUCAUGCACUUGCCAACCUCGUCUUGC